GCCAGGUGGGGUGGCGCGUGCCUGUAAUCCCAGCUACUCAGGAGGCUGAGGCAGGAGAAUAGCUUGAACCUGGGAGGUAGAGGUUGCAGUGAGCUGAGAUCAUGCCACUGCACUCUAGCCUGGGUGACAGAGCGAGACUCUGCCUUAA
This 148-nucleotide non-coding RNA is filed under the name Homo sapiens (human). The record is from Rfam by way of RNAcentral. Lineage: Eukaryota; Metazoa; Chordata; Mammalia; Primates; Hominidae.